Long non-coding RNA from Telopea speciosissima, 95 nucleotides. RefSeq lists it as uncharacterized. Lineage: Eukaryota; Viridiplantae; Streptophyta; Magnoliopsida; Proteales; Proteaceae. The record is from RefSeq and is a predicted model, not a curated record. The transcript has 3 exons.
UUUACUUCUUAUCUCUGAGUGGGUUUUAUGGAUGGGCCGUCCAUAUGGUAUCAUUGUACAAUCCACCUAUUUGUACCACAUAGCAGGUCUAGUGG